This 197-nucleotide non-coding RNA is filed under the name Weissella viridescens. RNAcentral describes it as "T-box". It matches the Rfam family "T-box leader". From Rfam's summary of the family: Uncharged tRNA acts as the effector for transcription antitermination of genes in the T-box leader family. T-boxes are found upstream of many aminoacyl-tRNA synthetase genes and some amino acid biosynthetic genes usually in Gram-positive bacteria. The record is from RNAcentral. Lineage: Bacteria; Bacillati; Bacillota; Bacilli; Lactobacillales; Lactobacillaceae.
CGCAAAGAUGAAAAUAGUAGGGCGUUGCUUUGGAAAUUCAGAAACACGGUGGCUGAUGUAAACCGUGCCAAAGCAUCAUCUGAAUUACAUUCAUCAUACAAGUUUGCACGUUUCGCUCAGCGCUAUGAGCAAGAUAAGUGGUCACAAGUGAUUGUGGCAAAUUAGGUGGUACCGCGCUUAAAAUAAGCGUCCUAAUC